Molecule: ribosomal RNA, 286 nt
Filed under: uncultured Bacillariophyceae
Lineage: Eukaryota; Bacillariophyta; Bacillariophyceae
Description: partial 18S ribosomal RNA
Rfam family: Eukaryotic small subunit ribosomal RNA
Source: RNAcentral
CGUAUAUUAAAGUUGUUGCAGUUAAAAAGCUCGUAGUUGGAUUUGUGGCGUAUGGUGUGUUCCGGGCACUUGUUGUCUGAGUAACCUGCUGUUGCCAUCCUUGGGUGGAACCUGUGUGGCAUUAGGUUGUCGUGCAGGGGAUGCCCAUCUUUUACUGUGAAAAAAUUAGAGUGUUCAAAGCAGGCUUAUGCCGUUGAAUAUAUUAGCAUGGAAUAAUGAGAUAGGACUUUUUUACUAUUUUGUUGGUUUGCGUAAAGAGGUAAUGAUUAAUAGGGACAGUUGGGGG